Molecule: ribosomal RNA, 467 nt
Filed under: uncultured bacterium
Lineage: Bacteria
Description: partial 16S ribosomal RNA
Rfam family: Bacterial small subunit ribosomal RNA
Source: RNAcentral
GACGAACGCUGGCGGCGUGCUUAACACAUGCAAGUCGAACGGAAAGGCCCUGCUUUUGUGGGGUGCUCGAGUGGCGAACGGGUGAGUAACACGUGAGUAACCUGCCCUUGACUUUGGGAUAACUUCAGGAAACUGGGGCUAAUACCGGAUAGGAGCUCCUGCUGCAUGGUGGGGGUUGGAAAGUUUCGGCGGUUGGGGAUGGACUCGCGGCUUAUCAGCUUGUUGGUGGGGUAGUGGCUUACCAAGGCUUUGACGGGUAGCCGGCCUGAGAGGGUGACCGGCCACAUUGGGACUGAGAUACGGCCCAGACUCCUACGGGAGGCAGCAGUGGGGAAUAUUGCACAAUGGGCGGAAGCCUGAGGCAGCAACGCCGCGUGCGGGAUGACGGCCUUCGGGUUGUAAACCGCUUUCGCCUGUGACGAAGCGUGAGUGACGGGAAUGGGUAAAGAAGCACCGGCUAACUACGU